This 253-nucleotide ribosomal RNA is filed under the name uncultured bacterium. RNAcentral describes it as "partial 16S ribosomal RNA". It matches the Rfam family "Bacterial small subunit ribosomal RNA", at positions 524 to 776 of the family's 1533-position model. The record is from RNAcentral.
UACGUAGGGGGCAAGCGUUGUCCGGAUUUAUUGGGCGUAAAGAGCGUGUAGGCGGCCUGGAAGGUCAGCUGUGAAAACUCGAGGCUCAACCUCGAGACGUCGGCUGAAACCACUUGGCUAGAGUCCGGAAGAGGAGUGUGGAAUUCCCGGUGUAGCGGUGAAAUGCGCAGAUAUCGGGAAGAACACCCGUGGCGAAGGCGGCACUCUGGGACGGUACUGACGCUGAGACGCGAAAGCGUGGGGAGCGAACAGG